Molecule: ribosomal RNA, 375 nt
Filed under: Triticum aestivum (bread wheat)
Lineage: Eukaryota; Viridiplantae; Streptophyta; Magnoliopsida; Poales; Poaceae
Description: partial small subunit ribosomal RNA
Source: RNAcentral
AUGUUCUCAUCUUACUUGGGUUCGCGCCGAUCCAUCCCCACUCGCUCACUUCUCCACCUCGCCAGGCCGCCGACAAGGCACCUACGCCUACUCAUCCCCCACCCCACCACCCUAGAGCAGCGCGGUGUACCACAAAUACACUCUCAGCGAGGAGGCGAUGGGUCGUGGGGCCUGAGCCCUGCGGCGGUGACGGCGCUGGUGGCGCUGCUCGGGCUUGGCGUCGCGGCAUACAUCGUUCUUGGUCUAAAAGACUACUGCUCUAACUGUGCCAAACAGUUCGUAGAGGUCAAGAGUGGUGCUUCCAGUGAAGAAACAGAGUUACUGAUGGACGAGCUAAAGCAGAGAGAGGAAAAAGCAACAGAAGCUCGGCAAUAA